AAAUUUUGUGAAUAUCUUAGACUUUCAUGGCUCUUUUACAAAAGUAGGACAAUUUAAAUUGCCUGUAGAGGUAGAUGGGAUAAUAUUCUCAUUGUCUUUUCAGAUUAUCUGACUAAUCCCAUUAUGGAUCUUUACAUUACAACCUCAAGUGCUAAGAUUUCUUUGUUUAUCUGUCUCUCAGCGGUUCCUGUAUUAUCAUGCUUCUCUCAUGACUGCUAAUCUAUAUCAUCCUAGGAAAAAUCUCAGGUUAUUUAAGUUUCCUGAGUUUUAUCAAUUUGUCAUCCUCCUAUCUGUGAUCGAUAUUUCCUCUGUAAUAUGACUUGCUAUGUUUUCACCAAAAAAAAAAAUAUGUAUAUUCUGUUAUUCAGUUAAUGAGUUGAAGAUGCUACAUGGCUCUGGCUACAUUUAAAAAAAAAAAAAAAAUUCUGGAUAGUGGCUCAAGGUAUUUAAUUCUUUUUUAUAUGUAGUUCAAUUACUCUCAAUUUUUUUUUCUUUAACAUUUGUUAGUCCUAUCCUGCUGGUUGCUUUAUUUUUUUGUGCCAAUUCAUUCUUAGUAUAUUUUUCUCCCCUCUUUGUAUUGAUAUAAUUCAUCUAGUGGAAAUUACAGUGACACAAGCAACUAUGUUACACGGACUUGGGUACAGGUGGCGGAAAUGAAUGCAUAUCCAUUUGUUAGACUUGUAAACUUCCUAAAUUGAUAUGGGGAUAUUGAUCAAAAUUUAGACAUGAUUGCUCAGAUAAGUUAUGUAACAUCCCACAGUAGCCCUUCAUUAUCACAUGGAGAAGCUUCUACUUCUUCCACUCAUCAACCCUAGGCAACAUAGCUCUAUGCACAUCCUCAAAGAUUGUAACAUUCUUCUUUUUCUUCUUGGAUGUGUGUCGUGCACAUAUUCCAUAUCGUAUGAUUUUUUUCUUUCAAAGUACAAUAAAUAAGCAACUUAAAAGAUUAAGUGAACUAUGGGGAAAAAUUAAUAAAUUUAGUGGGGUCAACAUAUAACCUAAUUAUAUAAAGGAUUUCCAAGGGGUGGUGGAGGCAAGUGCCCUUAUUGCCCCCAUGGUAAAUUCCCUAUGAUCUCAAUUCAGUUGCUGUUGGAGUAUACAGGGGAAAAAGAUGGAAAUACAUAGAACAUACCAAAUGAUUUUACAAAAUUGAAAUUGCCUGUAGAUGUAUUUGGGAUAACAGGUUUAUAGUAGUUUUAGAUUAUCAGACGUAUCCCAUUAUGGAUCUUUGCAACCUCAAAUACUUUGUUUUUGUCUCUCUGCUGUUCCUGCAUAACAAUUCUCUCAUGGCUGCGUAAAACAUCAUUUAGGGAGGUUUUCUUGUCCUUUAUUACCUGUUAAUCCUCCUAUGUCCUAUCAUCCUUUUGUCCAUGAGUUCCUCUCUGUAGUGUGACUUGCCUUAUGAUGAAGCCUUGAUCUGCAGCUUCUGGUACUUGAGGGUCCUCUCUCUCUCUCUCUCUCUCUCUCUCUCUCUCUCUUUAUUGACUCUUAUACUUUCUCAUUUCAUCGUAUUUAGAGGUCUAACUUGAGCGUCAGAGGGUCUUUACCGAGACCCCCCUAGUGGACUUCUGACCUGUUUCGCUUUGUUUGGCAGGUCCCAAUGGCUAAGAUCAGAUUGUGGAACCCCUAGGUACUAGAAGCUGCAGAUCAAGGCUUCAUCACCUUGUUUUCACAAAAAAGAUAGGCAUAUUCUGUUUUUUGGUUAAUGACUUUAAGAUGCUGCAUGACUUUGGCUGUUUUGUUUUGAUAUAAUUCAUCUUGGAGAAAUUACAGUGGCAUAGAGAUGGUAGAAAGCUUCUUUUCUUUUCUUCUCUUUAUUUUUUUUUGGGGUACAAAAAUGGAAGCUAAGACCAACUACACUAAAAUCGUAGGCAGCAUAGCUCCACUUACAUACUUCUUGAUGAUAUGCUUGCCAUGACCACUAGCCACUAAGACAUCAGUCCCAAUUCACAGCUCAUUUGCUUAUGCAACUAGCCUAUCUGCACCAAAUCCCUUGUUUUUUGGUUACACAACAUUCAUUCUCUCUUCAGCUGCAACUGAUCUUCCUUAUCAGGUUACAGUAGGAAUGCAUAAUCUUCUAUCCUUACCUAUGAGCAAAAAGAACAUCAAGGGCAUCUACCUCAAGAAUUAGUGAAUUACCUAAGUUUUUCCAUAUACAAAUUGCAAUGUUAUAUGCUUGGACAUAUCCCUUUCAUGUUAUUCCAACUUUACAAAAAUUCUUUAUACAUUCUUCAUCUCAUUAGUGAAUGAACUACAUUCUGUUAUACAUUCUUCAUCAUCAUUCUCUUUCAGAGGCUACGUACUGUCCAGCUCUUGUAUUCUUGCUACAUAUUUUGUUCAUGUAAAAGAAUCUGAUGCAAUCGGUUUCUUCUUCCUGGAAUCUUCUGUUCUCUUGUUUUUCUUAGCUCUUUCUCUCGCUUUCAUUUUCUUCCUAAUCAAACACCUCAAUUAGGUCCAUUUGAACUCAGAUGAACAAAAAUACUAGAACUAGCAUUGAAGGGUUAAAUUUUAUGGUCUUUAAAGCAUCACUAAGCCAGUGUAACAGAGUGGCGCUGCGAUGCAAACCCUAAUUUAGCAAGUAGCAAAAUUGUGAACAACUCUAAUAGCAACCUUAGAGCUAAUAUAUCAAAAAGCUUUCGUUAUGCCAUUCUUCUUUGUCCUAUAAAAGAGAAUUUUCUAUAAAUUAAUAUCAAGAAAUAGUAAUGAUCUUUUUCAAAGAAAUGGAUUCAUUUGUCACGUGUGGUGGAUCAAUCACUUGAAAAACCUAGAAUAUUUAGGCAAGUACAUAAAUUUCUACUAUUAUAUUUCUAUUUGUAGGCAAAUACAAUAGUCCUAAUUUAACUAAGAAUCCUAUUUACAAAUAAAAUAAAGCCUAAACUAAUUAAUAACAAUAAAGAUGAUUUCAUUUUGCAUCCCUUCUUUGUGUUCUUUAGGUUCGUCUUCCAUUCAAGGUAAGUUCAUCAUAACUUUUAAGUGAAUUUACUUGUUUGGAUCCAAGUUGCAAUAGUACUAAUUCCUCAAAUCUGUUUGCAGUUAUCAUGGGUUUAUCAAGCAACAGUACCAUUGUCUUCAUCUUCUUCUGAGGAAGAUUCUCCAACGAAAGCUACAUAACAUACCUCGAAAGCUCUUCAAGGUGUAAGCAUCAACCAUCAUUUGAGACAGUUGUUGAAAUUUAUCCGAUACAAAUAUGGUGGAUAUCUUAAGGUUGUUUGAACUUGAGUUAGGAUUCAUGUAUUGGGUCUUUAUAAUUUUUCUUCAUUGAUAUCAGAUCCCUAAUAUUUGUUUCCUAGUCUAAUUAACAUGUAUAAUUUGUUUAUAGACUUAUGAUUGAUAUUUAUUUGUGAAUCAAUUCAUAAAGAUAAUUUUUUA
Long non-coding RNA from Hevea brasiliensis (rubber tree), 3369 nucleotides. RefSeq lists it as uncharacterized. The record is from RefSeq and is a predicted model, not a curated record. The transcript has 3 exons. NCBI's taxonomy places the organism in Eukaryota, Viridiplantae, Streptophyta, Magnoliopsida, Malpighiales, Euphorbiaceae.